GAUUUAUCUAGCUGGCACCUGGCUGGGCAGACAUGGAGCAGCGCUGUGUAUUUUUCUGAUGAGAGACCUGAGACUCAGAGAAGUGAAUUGGCUUGCCCAGAGUCACCCAGCUCCUGAGUGGUGAAGCUGUUUGCUGGAAACCGGCCUUUUUGAGACCAAAACCUGUGUCUCCCUGGCUGCAUCAACUGCUUUCCUGCCCCAAGAGUUUGCUCUCAGGUCAGGAUGGGCCCAGUCACUUCUUGGCUCAGCAGGACCCCAGCUCAGGCCUGGAGUGAGAGGUAGGAACCCAGCGCUACCUCGUCUCACUGCUGGGAACGCUAUCUCAUUGUCCAUGGGUGGACUUUCGGGACAAGGGAUAGGCAGCUCGCGGACCUCAGAAACCACUGGACUAGAGGCUCCUGGGAGACAGACACCAUGUCUGGUCCAUUCCUGUACCCCAUGCCCAGCAUCGGGGGAGCACAUGCAUUUUAUUGCCAAUGACACGGAGAGACAGCUGGUUCGGCAAACGGUCCCCCAGCCAAUUUCUGUCCUAGCUCUUCCUGCUCCCACCCCUUCCUCAUAUGGGCCAUUGCUGUUCCUACAGCUCUGGGAAGCUGUCUCCUGUCUCCAGGACAAAGCCUUGGAGUCUUCCCCUGUCCCCCAGUCUCUCCCGCUCUCCCCAGCUCCCUUCCUUAUAUGAAUCCUGUUGGGCCUUGUGUAUCUUGGGACCUUUGCCUGCUGCAAGUCACCUCUCAGGCCCCAGGAUGGCUGGACACAGGUACCUCUUUGUCUUUCUAGGGCCGUCCAUGGCAGCCCCGCUUUCAUUCCAAUUACUUCUGGCCCCACCCCUGACAGACAGAGGGGUCACUUUCAUAUUUAAAAUGUAACUCAAUUUAACAUCUUAAUAGGUAAUAAAUUCUCCUGGUCCAAGGGUACCGACAAUGAAAAGCCCUCGUCCCACCCUACUCCCAGCAUCACAGCUCCCUCCAUGGAGGCAGUGUUACCAGUUCCCUGUGUGCCCUUCCAGAGAUAGUCUAGGCAUCUACAGGUAAAUAUAUGGAGAUAUACACGUAUUUUUAUGAAAUGUACUCCCCCCUCUUCUGUUCACAAAUAGUACCAUAUAAUCCACAGGGUUCUGUGCUUUGUUUUGUCACUUGACACUAUAUCUUGGAGAUGACUUCCUAGCAAGACAGGAAGAGCCUCCUCAUUCUUUUUUUUUUUUAAAGAUAUAAUUCCUGUACCAUAAAAUUCACUUCUAUAAAAAGUAAAAUUAAGUGAUUUUUAAUUGAUUCACCAAGUUAUGCCACCAUUACCGGUAUCUAAUUCUGGAACCUUUCCAUCACCCCCCAAAGAAACCACAUACUUGUUAGAGUCACUUCUCAUUCUUUUCCACCCCCAACCUCUGACAACCACUAAUCUAUUUCUUGUCUUCAUGGGAUUUGCCUA
Hipposideros armiger (great roundleaf bat) is the source of this 1425-nucleotide long non-coding RNA. RefSeq lists it as uncharacterized. The record is from RefSeq and is a predicted model, not a curated record. NCBI's taxonomy places the organism in Eukaryota, Metazoa, Chordata, Mammalia, Chiroptera, Hipposideridae. The transcript has 4 exons.